This 235-nucleotide unclassified non-coding RNA is filed under the name plant metagenome. Its description in RNAcentral is "partial contains small subunit ribosomal RNA, internal transcribed spacer 1, and 5.8S ribosomal RNA". The record is from RNAcentral.
UCUCCGUUGGUGAACCAGCGGAGGGAUCAUUACCGAAGUUACCUUCAAAACCCACUGUGAACCUUACCUCUUGCCGCGUUGUCUCGGCGGGAGGCGGUGUGCGUCGCGCGCCCUAGCGGGCCGCGCCGCUCCCGUCCCCGCCGGCAGCGCCAAACUCUAAAUGCACAGCGGAAUGUACGUUCUGAUUUACAAAAAAAACAAGUUAAAACUUUCAACAACGGAUCUCUUGGUUCUG